RNAcentral lists this unclassified non-coding RNA (423 nucleotides) under Neodiprion lecontei (redheaded pine sawfly). RNAcentral's name for it is "cellular tumor antigen p53, transcript variant X1". Lineage: Eukaryota; Metazoa; Arthropoda; Insecta; Hymenoptera; Diprionidae. The record is from RNAcentral.
UACCGAACCACAAUGAUCUGUCCACACAAACUGUAAUGCAGGCACAGAUGCCGGCAAACCAGGAGUUUGCUGGCGAAUUAAACUUCGAAUUGUUGCCGAACCAACAAGAUGGAAGCAAGUCUUGGGUGGUAAUUUUCUCUCCUUAGUAAUUGACCUCUGCAAAGUCAACGCGCAACUUAGUUAUAAUGUUUGGGGACGGCAGAAUUUCAGUCGCCAGGUUGUGAGUUGCCAUGUUAUGACGACGAGUUGAAAUAUUGAGGAGAGUUAAAAAUCCUGCCAACGAUUACUCCGCGAAGCUGCAAAAAGUUUUUAUUGAGAUGGAAAAAACUCUGCCUUUAUGGGUCAAAUGGUCACCACCACACGGCCAGCUUUAUGUAAGGGCUGGAAUGGCUUUUUGCGAGCCCACCCACCGGUCAGAUCCUG